This 1053-nucleotide long non-coding RNA is filed under the name Chrysemys picta bellii (western painted turtle). RNAcentral describes it as "lncRNA (ENSCPBG00000008856.1)". Lineage: Eukaryota; Metazoa; Chordata; Testudines; Emydidae. The record is from RNAcentral.
UAGCGGGGGAUGGGCACCCCUCCCCCCAGUUUAAGACACACCGAAGGAGAAAACCAGCUCCUCCGCCGCUUCCCGCCCCACUUCCCCCGCAGCCGGCUCCCAAGCGCCGCCGCCUCCGCUGCUGCGCGCCCCGGGCAGGAGCCGCACGGGCGCCCGCUCGCUGCAGCCUGAGGGCGGAUCGGGGCCGCCGCAGAACCGCUCCGUCUGCCGCGCGCCGAGCCGCGGGACCAUGAACCCGGGCGAGAGGAGGCUGCAAGCGGCCGCUGCCGCUGCCGGGCUGCCUCCAGCCGGCGCCCGGUGCGCGGGGGGCGGCGGCUCCGCAGCCGUCUGCCUGCUGCUCUCGCUCACCUCGCUGGGCGCCUGCCUGCUGCUGAGCGCCAAGACCUGCGAGCUGCAGGGCAGGGUGGCGGCGCUGGAGGAGCGGGGCAGCCCCGGCUGGGCAGCGGGAGCCCCCCUGAGCCCCGGACCGCUGCUCGCCCUGCUGCAGCCCCACAUGGAGCAGCUCUUCCAGGAGAAACUGGGCGAAGGAUUAGCCAAGCUGCGGACAGUGCGAGAGGCUCCAUCUGAAUGUGUCUGCCCACCAGGUAUGUGGAACAGUGACAUCUUACUUAUACCAUUCCCACCAAAGUUUGACAGUUGGUAAAUUGUUGACAGUCUUACUGCAUUAAUACUACCCACAUUCCUCUUCUUUCUUUUAGCUGCUCCUUUGUAUUAAAUGGAAUAUGCUAACGAGUUUAAAUACCUCCAAAGAUGAAGUGCCCCCUUCUGAUCAACUGGAUUAACUUUCCCUGGCUUGCAUUUGUGCGUUUGGUGUUUGGGGCUUGAGUGGGGAAGCCGUAUGCUCUAUUAAAUAACUGUUUUACUCUAACAUAUCUACUGACCUGUGUGCCCUACACAGUCCACUGAAAGGCAUUCAGAAAAAGACAUAUAAAAACCUCUGCAGUUUAAACAUCAGUGUGAUAAUUAAAAGCUGUAUCACCACUUCCUUUUAAGAUGCUAGAGUGGCUUCUCCAUUAUUGCUCGGCAUAUGAAAACUCUCAUUGACUGUUUAAA